This 1083-nucleotide long non-coding RNA is filed under the name Setaria italica (foxtail millet). RNAcentral's name for it is "long non-coding RNA (SITA_LNC000764)". The record is from RNAcentral. Lineage: Eukaryota; Viridiplantae; Streptophyta; Magnoliopsida; Poales; Poaceae.
UCCGAUCCACUUCCGUCCCGAAUAAGUUUCCUGUGGCUUUGUUUGCAUCUCAAGAAAGGAAUGUUGUGAUUUUGUCCCAUUCUUUCUCUUGGCAAUUGGUUAGUUGUGCUGUACUGUGCAGAUCUUGCAGUACUGUUCUUGUAUUGGUGCUGUGCCACAGUGCUGUAGGGGGCGUUUUCUUCCCGUGUCUUAUUUUUAGCACGUGUCACAUCGAAUGUUUAGAUACUAAUUAGGAGUAGUAAACGUAGACUAUUUACAAAACCAAUUACAUAAGUGGAAUCUAAACGGCGAGACGAAUCUAUUAAGCCUAAUUAAGCCUAAUUAAUCCAUCAUUAGCAAAUAUUUACUGUAGCAACACAUUGUCAAAUCAUGGACUAAUUAAGCUUAAUAGAUUCGUCUCGCCGUUUAGAUUCGUCUUAUGUAAUGGGUUUUGUAAAUAGUCUACAUUUAAUACUCCUAAUUAGUAUCUAAACAUUCGAUGUGACAGGUGCUAAAGUUUAGCAAGCGGAAGAAAACAGGCCCGUACUUUGCCCCCUUUUGUUUUUGUUUACAUAUCUGCCCUUAGAGAGCUGCUAAUUUUUUUUUUGAAAAACAAAAUUUUUUCUUACCUUUAGAGAGCUGCUAAUUUACUAUACCUAACACUGAAGAUAAGCUUCUAGUCCUGCGAAUCUAAAACCAAAAUAUAAAGGUAAGAAAAAGAAGACAACUUACCAAUUGUUACCAACUAUUGCUAUCAUUAACUAGCUAAGUCUGGUAUAAUUCUUUUUGAAACGAAGUCUAGCAUAAUUUACUCGAAUCUUCUCUGGACAUGUUCAGUCAGGUUCCUCAUACUUUGGACAUGUUUUACUCUGACUUGGACACUUAGUACCACGCCAUGUAAAGAAAUCACUUCCAACAAGAAGUUAAAUAGCUCGAGAGUAAACAUAUACCUACUCAAGUUUCCUUCGUCACUGUACUAAUUUGUGGAUAUCAAGAAGUUCCCUGACAAAAUUCUACCAGGACAAACACUUACUGAUUCAAAUGAUUCAACCAAUAUGUUGCUCUUGAUUGCCACUUUUGAGUUUCUCUUCAUUCUUUUUUUUU